UGCACCUCCCAUGCCCUCUGACCUGGGCGUGAGGUGUGUCGAUCGAACCAGUCACCGUGUCAGCUAAUCUGACAGCCGGCUUUUGUUGUUUUCCCGGAUAAAAUUGUAGGGUUAGGCUUCGUGGAACGGCAUCGUACCAUCCGGAAGUGUUACUCAUGUAUCGCACCAUCCCAGUACAUGUCUAAAACAGGAAGAAGCGGUUUUAUAUAGACCAAGAAUCGCCAAGGAAGCGGCCCAACUCCAAGAGAUCGCGUCGCGUCCUAUCGGACGGUUUAUCAGAAUUCCUUGGCACUUGAGGGACGAUCUUGGCCGAGAAAAAUGUGCGGGUUUCCGAAGAAUCUGGUGUACGUGUUUGUGGACCUGGUCUGCGUGCUGAUAGUUGCGCUGCCCAUCAUCAUACUGAAGUUUGCAGGCCAGCCGUCCCAGCGCGGGUUCUUCUGCGAUGACCAGACGAUCAGCUACCCGUUUCACGAGAGCACCGUUCCAACAUGGAUGCUGGUCAUAUUCGGUGGAGGCAUCCCUGUGCUUUGUAUGUUAGUGGGAGAGGCAGUUUUUAUCUCCAGAUCCACCAAGUCUGAAGGGGAGGAGACCAAGAAGUUUCCCUUCCUUCCGUACUUCGUCCGUGUCUACAAGACUGUCGGGAUCUUCUUAUUUGGCGUCCUGUCCACUCAGUGUCUAACAGAUAUCUUUAAGUUCACGAUCGGUCGUUUGAGACCCAACUUCCUGUCAGUGUGUGCUCCUGACUACAGCACUUUUAACUGCACAGACGACAUGGGGCGAUACGUCUACGUCACUGACUAUGUCUGUACUGGGGACCCUCAGGAGACUAAAGAAUCAAGGUUGUCCUUCGUAUCCGGACACGCCUCAAUGUCAUUCUUCUGCAUGGUCUAUCUGGUCUUGUACCUGCAGGUACGAAUCAAGUGGCGGCAGUCAUGGCUCCUGGAUUGUUUGUUUAUUUGUUUAUUUGUUUGUACAGUCUCUCCCACAGUUGUUUAUUUGUUUGUUUUUACAAUCUUUCCCCACAGUUGUACCUGCAGGUACGGAUCAAGUGGCGACAGUCAUGGCUGCUGAAGCCCUUCCUACAGGUUUUAGCCGUUAUCCUGGCCCAGCUGACGAUGCUGUCCCGUAUCACCGACAACAAGCACCACUGGAGCGACGUCCUGGCCGGCAGCGCGCUGGGGACCUUCAUGGCGAUACUGGUGGGUCUGUCAGUCUCCGACCUCUUUCCGAAGACUUGGCGGAAGCUUGACCAAUCAGUUGCCCCCAAGGGUACCACGCCCAGACUGGAGGAGGAGGAGGAAGAUAAGUUGGAGGCGGUUGCCGUUGACAAUGGUGAAAAUGGGAAGAGGAACAGCCAGGGCAUGACAAC
Molecule: RNA transcript, 1369 nt
Organism: Branchiostoma floridae (Florida lancelet)
Lineage: Eukaryota; Metazoa; Chordata; Leptocardii; Amphioxiformes; Branchiostomatidae
Gene name: phospholipid phosphatase 1-like
Exons: 7
Source: RefSeq, a predicted model, not a curated record